This 600-nucleotide ribosomal RNA is filed under the name uncultured bacterium. RNAcentral describes it as "bacterial SSU rRNA". It matches the Rfam family "Bacterial small subunit ribosomal RNA", at positions 64 to 642 of the family's 1533-position model. The record is from RNAcentral.
GAGCGGUAAGGCACCUUCGGGUGUACACGAGCAGCGAACGGGUGAGUAACGCGUGGGUAAUCUACCUAGAGGUGGGGGAUAGCCUCGGGAAACCGGGGGUAAUACCGCAUGAGUCCUUUCCAACAUAAGUUGGAUUGGGGAAAGGCGGGGAUCUUCGGACCUGUCGCCUCUGGAUGAGCCCGCGUCCGAUUAGCUUGUUGGUGAGGUAAUGGCUCACCAAGGCAUCUAUCGGUAGCCGGCCUGAGAGGGUGAACGGCCACAUUGGGACUGAGACACGGCCCAGACUCCUACGGGAGGCAGCAGUGGGGAAUUUUGGGCAAUGGGCGCAAGCCUGACCCAGCGACGCCGCGUGGAGGAUGAAGGCCUUCGGGUUGUAAACUCCUGUCAGGUGGGAAGAAGAGCCCUGUGGUUAAUAGCCACAAGGAAUUGACGGUACCACCAAAGGAAGCCCCGGCUAACUCCGUGCCAGCAGCUGCGGUAAUACGGAGGGGGCAAGCGUUAUUCGGAUUUACUGGGCGUAAAGCGCACGUAGGCGGCAAUUUAAGUCACAGGUGAAAGCCCUCGGCUCAACCGAGGAACUGCCUGCGAAACUGGAUUGCU